GUAGGUGGCAAGCGUUGUCCGGAAUUAUUGGGCGUAAAGCGCGCGCAGGCGGUUCUUUAAGUCUGAUGUGAAAGCCCACGGGCUCAACCGUGGAGGGUCAUUGGAAACUGGAGAACUUGAGUACAGAAGAGGAAAGCGGAAUUCCACGUGUAGCGGUGAAAUGCGUAGAGAUGUGGGGAACACCAGUGGCGGAGGCGGCUUUCUGGUCUGUAACUGACGCUGAGGCGCGAAAGCGUGGGGAGCAAACAGGAUUAGAUACCCUGGUAGUCCACGCCGUAAACGAUGAGUGCUAAGUGUUAGGGGGUUUCCGCCCCUUAGUGCUGCAGCUAACGCAUUAAGCACUCCGCCUGGGGAGUACGGCCGCAAAGGCUG
Molecule: ribosomal RNA, 372 nt
Filed under: uncultured organism
Description: partial 16S ribosomal RNA
Rfam family: Bacterial small subunit ribosomal RNA
Source: RNAcentral